RNAcentral lists this ribosomal RNA (245 nucleotides) under uncultured bacterium. RNAcentral's name for it is "partial small subunit ribosomal RNA". It matches the Rfam family "Bacterial small subunit ribosomal RNA", at positions 26 to 285 of the family's 1533-position model. The record is from RNAcentral.
AGAAUCAACGCUGGCGGCGUGCCUAACACAUGCAAGUCGAACGAGAAAGGGUAGCAAUACCUGAGUAAAGUGGCGCACGGGUGAGUAACAUGUGACUAACCUACCCUGGAGUGGGGGAUAACUGGGAGAAAUCCUAGCUAAUACCGCAUAACACCUACGGGUCAAAGGAGCAAUUCGCUUCAGGAGGGGGUCGCGGCAGAUUAGAUAGUUGGCGGGGUAAUGGCCCACCAAGUCAGUGAUCUGUA